RNAcentral lists this non-coding RNA (37 nucleotides) under unclassified sequences. RNAcentral describes it as "abiF RNA". It matches the Rfam family "abiF RNA". The record is from Rfam by way of RNAcentral.
CCUGCUAAGCCUCUUAACAAUGCUCAAAUCAGCAGGU